AUACGGAGGGUGCGAAGCGUUAGUUCGGAAUUACUGGGCGUAAAGCGCGUGCAGGCGGGUGGACAAGUCUGAUGUGAAAGCCCCGGGCUCAACCUGGGAAGUGCAUUGGAAACUGUUCAUCUUGAGUGCUGGAGAGGAAGGGGGAAUUCCCGGUGUAGAGGUGAAAUUCGUAGAGAUCGGGAGGAAUACCAGUGGCGAAGGCGCCCUUCUGGACGGCAACUGACGCUGAGACGCGAAAGCGUGGGGAGC
Molecule: ribosomal RNA, 249 nt
Filed under: uncultured bacterium
Lineage: Bacteria
Description: partial 16S ribosomal RNA
Rfam family: Bacterial small subunit ribosomal RNA
Source: RNAcentral